RNAcentral lists this ribosomal RNA (484 nucleotides) under uncultured bacterium. Its description in RNAcentral is "partial 16S ribosomal RNA". It matches the Rfam family "Bacterial small subunit ribosomal RNA", at positions 29 to 507 of the family's 1533-position model. The record is from RNAcentral.
AUUGAACGCUGGCGGCAUGCUUUACACAUGCAAGUCGAGCGGAAAAAGGCCGCUAGGUGCUGGAGUGAGGGGCAGGGGUGUGUAAAGCGUCGGAACGUGUCCAGCCGAGGGGGGUAACUACUCGAGAGAGUAGCUAAAAUAGCAUACGCGCUCUGGGUGAGAGCGGGGGGGAGCAAGGGACCGCGCGCUUGCAGCGGAGCCUACGUGCGAUUAGGUAGUUGGUGGGGUAAAGGCCCACCAAGACGACGAUCCGUAGCUGGUCUGAGAGGACGACCAGCCACACUGGAACUGAGACACGGCCCAGACUCCUACGGGAGGCAGCAGUGGGGAAUAUUGGACAAUGGGCGCAAGCCUGAUCCAGCAAUGCCGCGUGUAGGAAGAAGGCCUUCGGAUUGUAAACCGCUUUAGGUCGGAACGAAACGGCUCUAGUUAAUACCCGGCUGUAAUGACGUUACCGUAAGAAUAAGCACCGGCUAACUUCGUG